ACUUCGUUCUCUCCCGAGUGGAUCCUGAGUACGGCGGGACACGAGGAAUCCCGCCGGAAUCCGGGAGGACCAUCUCCCAAGGCUAAAUACUCCCUAGUGACCGAUAGUGAACCAGUACCGUGAGGGAAAGGUGAAAAGCACCCCGGGAGGGGAGUGAAAGAGAUCCUGAAACCGUGUGCCUACAAGUAGUCAGAGCCCGUUAACGGGUGAUGGCGUGCCUUUUGUAGAAUGAACCGGCGAGUUACGGUCUCAUGCAAGGUUAAGCUGAAGAAGCGGAGCCGCAGCGAAAGCGAGUCUGAACAGGGCGAAAGAGUAUGAGGCCGCAGACCCGAAACCAGGUGAUCUACCCAUGUCCAGGGUGAAGGCAAGGUAACACUUGCUGGAGGCCCGAACCCACGCACGUUGAAAAGUGCGGGGAUGAGGUGUGGGUAGCGGAGAAAUUCCAAUCGAACUUGGAGAUAGCUGGUUCUCUCCGAAAUAGCUUUAGGGCUAGCCUCAAGCGAAGAGUUUUGGAGGUAGAGCACUGUUUGGACGAGGGGCCCUCAUCGGGUUACCGAAUUCAGACAAACUCCGAAUGCCAAAAACUUAUGCUUGGGAGUCAGACUGUGAGUGAUAAGAUCCAUGGUCGAAAGGGAAACAGCCCAGACCGCCAGCUAAGGUCCCAAAGUAUACGUUAAGUGGAAAAGGAUGUGGCGUUGCUUAGACAACCAGGAUGUUGGCUUAGAAGCAGCCAUCAUU
Molecule: ribosomal RNA, 738 nt
Filed under: Heyndrickxia coagulans
Lineage: Bacteria; Bacillati; Bacillota; Bacilli; Caryophanales; Bacillaceae
Description: partial 23S ribosomal RNA
Rfam family: Bacterial large subunit ribosomal RNA
Source: RNAcentral